This 303-nucleotide ribosomal RNA is filed under the name uncultured bacterium. RNAcentral describes it as "partial 16S ribosomal RNA". It matches the Rfam family "Bacterial small subunit ribosomal RNA", at positions 507 to 809 of the family's 1533-position model. The record is from RNAcentral.
AGCAGUAGCCGCGGGAAUACGUAGGGUGCAAGCGUUAAUCGGAAUUACUGGGCGUAAAGCGUGCGCAGGCGGUUUGUUAAGACAGAUGUGAAAUCCCCGGGCUUAACCUGGGAACUGCAUUUGUGACUGGCGGGCUAGAGUAUGGCAGAGGGGGGUAGAAUUCCACGUGUAGCAGUGAAAUGCGUAGAGAUGUGGAGGAAUACCGAUGGCGAAGGCAGCCCCCUGGGCCAAUACUGACGCUCAUGCACGAAAGCGUGGGGAGCAAACAGGAUUAGAUACCCCUGUAGUCCCUGUCUCUUAUAA